AUGACCUUCAUCACCAUGUUGAUCUGGACGCUGACGGUGUUUUGUAGAGAAUCUAUCGGGCAGGUGACGGUGAGUCAAAGUCCAUCGGAGCUGCUCGCUCAAACUGGACAAUCAGUCACUGUGACCUGUUCAUUUAACACAGAUCCAGACUGCUGUCACAACACACACCAUUUUCUUAGCUGGUACCUUAAGAAACCUGAAGAAGCUCCUAAACUCUUGAUUUAUGCAUCAAUCAGUCGGGCUUCAGGAGCUCCAUCUAGAUUUGCUGGCAGCAUAUCAUCUGGGAGAGAUUUCUCUCUGACCAUCAGUGAAGUCCAGACUGAAGAUGCUGGACAUUAUUACUGUCAGAGUUAUCACUAUAUCAACAGUAAAGAUGUGUUCACAAAGUGA
Molecule: non-coding RNA, 390 nt
Organism: Puntigrus tetrazona (Sumatra barb)
Lineage: Eukaryota; Metazoa; Chordata; Actinopteri; Cypriniformes; Cyprinidae
Source: the annotation of a RefSeq genome assembly